Molecule: ribosomal RNA, 507 nt
Filed under: uncultured Glomus
Lineage: Eukaryota; Fungi; Glomeromycota; Glomeromycetes; Glomerales; Glomeraceae
Description: SSU rRNA
Rfam family: Eukaryotic small subunit ribosomal RNA
Source: RNAcentral
AGCAGCCGCGGUAAUUCCAGCUCCAAUAGCGUAUAUUAAAGUUGUUGCAGUUAAAAAGCUCGUAGUUGAAUUUCGGGAUCAGUACGUCGGUCGUGCCUCGGUACGUACUGUCGUCAUUGGUUUCUCCCUUCUGACGAACCAUGAUGUCAUUAAUUUCGUGUUAUGGGGAGUUAGGACUGUUACUUUGAAAAAAUUAGAGUGUUUAAAGCAGGCAUUAGCUUGAAUACAUUAGCAUGGAAUAAUGAAAUAGGACGUUCGAUCCUAUUUUGUUGGUUUCUAGGAUCAACGUAAUGAUUAAUAGGGAUAGUUGGGGGCAUUAGUAUUCAAUUGUCAGAGGUGAAAUUCUUGGAUUUAUUGAAGACUAACUACUGCGAAAGCAUUUGCCAAGGAUGUUUUCAUUAAUCAAGAGCGAAAGUUAGGGGAUCGUAGACGAUCAGAUACCGUCGUAGUCUUAACCAUAAACUAUGCCGACUAGGGAUCGGAUGAUGUUAAUUUUUUAAUGACUCA